AUACGGAGGGUGCAAGCGUUAAUCGGAAUUACUGGGCGUAAAGCGCGCGUAGGCGGCUGAUUAAGUCGGAUGUGAAAUCCCUGGGCUCAACCUAGGAACUGCAUCCGAUACUGGUCAGCUAGAGUUUUGGAGAGGUAAGUGGAAUUUCCGGUGUAGCGGUGAAAUGCAUAGAGAUCGGAAGGAACACCAGUGGCGAAGGCGACUUACUGGCCAAAAACUGACGCUGAGGUGCGAAAGCGUGGGUAGCAAACGGGAUUAGAAACCCUAGUAGUCC
Molecule: ribosomal RNA, 274 nt
Filed under: uncultured bacterium
Lineage: Bacteria
Description: partial 16S ribosomal RNA
Rfam family: Bacterial small subunit ribosomal RNA
Source: RNAcentral